UCCAAUCUUCUGGGUCAGAUAUGUUCCUGCCUCAGUGGUGCUGUGGAUACAGUCUCUAGAAUCUAGCCAGCAGAGUAUCUGAGGUGCUGUUAAUGAACACUGCUUUUCCUGAAGAGCAGAAUGCAAGGCUGUGACAAUUGAAAGAAGUCAAAUGUGAAGUCUCUGCUUCAGGGAUCCAUUUUAGGGCAUUCUGGAAAAAGCUUUCCAACAUAUAUUAGACUUGCUCCUGGUGCAAGAAACACAAGAGGAGGUUCCACUGAGAUUGGGGAAAAGGAAAGACCCUGAGAGAUCUCCCUGGGAGGCUGGCCCUGCUUCUCUGCCACAGAGUAGAGCUUCCUGGAUGACACUGAGCUGGUUGAGCACCUGCAGACCACCAAGGCCACCAUGUCAGAGAUACAGCACAAGGUGAUACAAGCCCAGAGAUAUGAAUGAAAUAUAAGGAGACCAGAGAGUGCUACAGGCCAGUGGCAGCCAAAACCUCUUUUCUAUAAUUCCUUAUUAACGAACUCAGGAAGAGAUGAGUACCUCAACUGCUAAGAGUUGGUGAAGAAACAAGGUACUGGAAAGCGGGUAACCCCAACUCCUAAGACAGUUUGUAAAGAGGCAAGACACUGGUAAAUGGGUAAAUCAACUCCUAAGAGUGUUGGUAAGAAGGAAGGUACUGGAAAAUGUGUACAUCAAAACCUAAAAGGGUUGGUAAAGCAGCUAGGUACUGGAAAAUGUGUACCUCAACUCCUAAGAGAGUUGGUGAAGAAGCCAGGUACAGGAAAGUGGAUAUCUCAACUCCUCAGACAGUUUGUAAAGAGACAAAGUACAGCGAAAUGGGUACCUCAACUCCUAAGGAUAGUUGGUAAAGAGGCAAGGUACUGGAAAAUGUGUAUCUCAACUCCUAACAGAGUUGGUAAAGAGGCAAGGUACUGGAAAAUGGGUACCUCAACUACUUAGAGAGUUGGUGAAGAAACAAGGUAGUGGAAAGCAGAUACCUCAACUCCUAAGAGAGUUGAGAAGGAGCAGGGUACUGUAAAAUGAGUACCUCAGUUCCUAGGAGAGUUGGUAAAGAGGCAAGGUACUGGAAAAUAUGAAUCUCAACUCCUAAGAGAGUUGGUAAAGAGGCAAGGUACUGGAAAAUGGGUACCACAACUCAUAAGAGAGUUGGUAAAGAGGCAAGAUACUGGAAAAUGUGUACCUCAACUCCUAAUAGAGUUGAUAAAGAAACAAUAGUGGAAAGCAGGUACCUCAACUCCUAAGAGAGUUGAUAAAGAGGCAAGGUACUGGAAAAUGGGUACCUCAAUUCCUAGGAGAGUUGGUAAAGAGGCAAGGUAAUGGAAAAUGUGCAUCUCAACUCCUAAGAGAGUUGGUAAAGAGGCAAGGUACUGGAAAAUGGGUAUCUCAACUCCUAAGAGAGUUGGGAAAGAGGCAGGGUACUGUAAAAUGAGUACCUCAAUUCCUAGGAGAGUUGGUAAAGAGGCAAGGUACUGGAAAAUGUGUAUCUCAACUCCUAAGAGAGUUGGUAAAGAGGCAAGCUACAGGAAAAUGGGUACCUCAACUCCGAAGAGAGUUGGUAAAGAGGCAAGGUACUGGAAAAUGGGUACCUCAACUCCGAAGAGAGUUGGUAAAGAGGCAAGGUACUGGAAAAUGGGUAUGUCAACUCUUAAGAGAGUUGUUAACAAAAACAAGGAUUUAGCUAUGUUUCUAUGUUUUUUCAUGAUCCCCAUGACAGCGCCCCCAUCCAGCAUAGAGCAGUUUAGAAUGAACGAUGCCCAAAUUCCCAAAAAUACUUUGUAUUGGUAUAGAUUUGGUAUAUAUGUCAUUUAUUGAUACAUAAAGAAGUUGGAGAUGCUUAGCCAUAGAAACCAGGAGGUCUCUAUGAUUUGCUGGUCAGCCAAUAACCACAUGUGCAUCCUGCUUUCUAGUCCUGGAUUCCAGCCACAGCCGUCCCCACUGGCAUCACAUCCAGUUGUGAAAAGAGGAGCUCUUACAGGCCCCACACCUCUCUGAUUAUCUGAGUCAGGGGUCUGGCUAAGCAGUGCUAAUUUGCUGACUGCUUGGUUUGUAUUACAUUAGAUACGCCUACCCUGUGUAUUUUGUUUGACUCAGCUAGCAGUUUUAGAAAUAGUCUGUCAGUGGAAGUUUGGGGAAUGGGCAACUUCAGAGAUAGAACAGCAGAGCCUGAUUAGCAUAGGGAGCGUAGGUAAAUCAGGAUAUAGACGGGUCCAGGAGUAUGGAAAUAUAAAAUUUUAAGCCCAAACAUAUUUGGGGAAUGUAUGUGUAUAUAUGCAUACAUAAACACACACAAAUAUAUAUAAAAACCACCUUCUGCCUUAAGAGCAGACAUCCUGGCAGCCACGGUGUACAGAGGUAAACUUUUAACAAUUGUCUCCUGCCUCCCAGCUUCCCAGCUAGGCAGCUACUGCAGACAAAGUAAGAUUCUAACUAUUGCCUCCAUGGGACCCUCUUGUUGUAUUCCCUGAAGUUUUAACUGUCGUCCCGUGUGACUCUGCUCUCUGCCUUGUAUUCUCUCAGGGACAGCACUGUAUCAGCCACUGGCUUUCCCAAACAUCCUAACUUAACAUCCUAUAAUGAAAAGUUGUAAAACUUAAAAUGUAAUGUGACUUUAAGCAUGACCUCCAGGUUAUAAAAGCUCUUUGAACCCCCCUGGUGCUUGUUUUUAUUAUAAGAAGAGGCUGGAAAUCAGCCCAGGUUGCCACAGUUUCAGAAGACUGAUCUCUGGAUGUGAACCCAGUUAACUGUUAAGCUUCUUGUACCUUGCACUGAUUUUUUUUCUUUGUUGCUUGUUUGAAUAAAGAUUGCUUCUACUUUUAUA
This is a non-coding RNA of Cricetulus griseus (Chinese hamster), 2824 nucleotides long. The record is from RefSeq and is a predicted model, not a curated record. Lineage: Eukaryota; Metazoa; Chordata; Mammalia; Rodentia; Cricetidae.